UAACAAAUACCAAAUCUCUUUGAUACUUGCUGAUACUUGAUAUCUGACAGAUUUGUAGAAAGACCCUGAUUCAUAGGAAGGGAGUCACAUGAAUCAUUCACUGAAACGAGGAAUCUAAGCUUAUUCUAAAUCUUGCAGAGAUUCAUGUUCUUCAACUAAUUUUAUGGUGCUAGAAUAACAGUCUCAUAAAACUUAUUAAAUUCAGCUGUGUUUCCAGAAUGUAAUACAAGUUGAAAGCAUCUCAGUAACUUAAGAAUGGUUUAGUAUUAGAAAUACAUUAACAGAUUCGACAUAAUACUAAUGAAUUAUAAAACAUGUUUAUAUUAAUAGGUACAGAAAAAUAA
This 344-nucleotide long non-coding RNA is filed under the name Bos taurus (domestic cattle). Its description in RNAcentral is "long non-coding RNA NONBTAT009595". The record is from RNAcentral. Lineage: Eukaryota; Metazoa; Chordata; Mammalia; Artiodactyla; Bovidae.